This is a non-coding RNA of Aegilops tauschii subsp. strangulata, 1574 nucleotides long. NCBI's taxonomy places the organism in Eukaryota, Viridiplantae, Streptophyta, Magnoliopsida, Poales, Poaceae. The record is from RefSeq and is a predicted model, not a curated record.
UACAUCCUCCCAGUAGCUUUUUCGUUUCUGCGGCUGGGAGGCUUGAGCUGUCUAUCCCCAGAAACACCAGUCAGUUUCAGGCUUGUGCGCAGCGCAGUGGCGACGGACUCCGUCUGUUACGAUGCUGAAGGCUCUCCCCGCGCGCUUCCUCGUCUCGCCGGAGCCCGGGGGGCGGCGCCGGAGCCCUCGCCCACGAUCUCUACGGCCGAUUUCGGCGGCGCUGAUGACCAACCCCGCGUACUUCGAGGUCGGCAGAUUAUUGGGUAGCUAUGGCUUCAUGAACAUCACAAGCUAUUCAUCUUCUCAGUCUGGAGGGUUUCCAAACGAUGCUGUUAAUCAAGACCUUAGUCUUGGAUAUUCACCGGAAGAGAUUGAGCGAUUAAGAGUCCAAGAUGUUGGAGAAGGACAAGUGAAAAUUAGACUGUACGAGGGAAGAGUGGUGCAAGGUCCAUUGAAGGGCACACAAACUGUAUUUAAGGUAUACCCUGGAGCUAUUGCUGGUGCUUCUGAAGCUAAUUUGAUGGCACUGAAUGAGCUGAGGACUCAUGCUUUUCUUCAGAGUGAUGCAAGGGAUAUCUGUGAGAACAUUCAGUUUCUGUUAGGAGCAUUUGAGACAGCUACUGGAGAGCAGUGGCUUGCUUUCCGCGAUGAUGGGAGAUACAGUGCUGCAGACUAUGCAAAAAUAACCAGUGAAAGGCAGUUGAAGGAACGGCCUAAUUUUUGGAAUCCCUAUGAUCGUGCAUACAAAUUGGAACUGAGGAAAUAUUUUGUCCUUAGGCUGCUUAAUGGAGCUAUGUGUGGCCUUGUCCACAUGCAUAAUCAUGAUAGACUGCACCAAAGCCUUGGCCCCUCUUCUGUUGUUCUCAACACUGUUGCAGAGAAAAAUGGAUACUAUUUACUUCCACAGCUCCGUGAUUUGGCAUUUUCUGUAGAUAUCGGGUAUUCGUCUAUGGGGGUUGGAGCUUUGUCAGAUGGUCUUUGGCGUCGAGCAUCUGCUGCUGGAGCAUCAACUCCUUUGGAGAAGCGAGCUUUUGGAGUAGCUGAUGACAUAUAUGGAGCUGGGUUGCUUAUUGCAUACAUGGCAUUUAUUCCGUUUUGCAAAGCAGGCAUUAUGGAUGGCAUUUCCUUGCAGGUUCUUGAUUAUAAUUUGGAUUUAAAGGCUCUUGGAGAACACUUUCCGUCUCGACAUUUAUGCUGCAAGAGAGUAUGAAUCGCUAGAACAAAACAUCUACAUGGUAUUGCCUGGAAGAUGAUAAAUUGUCGGAAGCUGUAAACUUUCUAGAUUUAGGUGAUGGUGCCGGCUGGGAGUUGCUGCAGGCAAUGCUUAAUCCAGAUUACCGUAAAAGACCAAUUGCUGAGGCUGUACUGAACCAUAGGUUUAUUACAGGGGCUCUAUUGUAGAAGUAAUCAUCAACUAGAUGCGCUUAUAAAUUUGUACAAUAGAUGGUGGAGGCAGGUCCCAUUGUGUGAAAAAUAUGUUCAAAUCUAAAGACAUGUUGUGAUCAGGUACUUAAAUAGUGUACCUAAACUAGAGGAACAUUGUAAAUAUAUGCAUGAACAUCAUUUUUGGCAAA